Long non-coding RNA from Diabrotica virgifera virgifera (western corn rootworm), 380 nucleotides. RefSeq lists it as uncharacterized. Lineage: Eukaryota; Metazoa; Arthropoda; Insecta; Coleoptera; Chrysomelidae. The record is from RefSeq and is a predicted model, not a curated record. The transcript has 2 exons.
GUUAGCGUCAAUUGAAAACUGUUAGAUUGAAGCAAGUCUCUAUUACCGUAAGCAAUCUCAUCAUUAUACUGGUAAGACUAUUGAAUUUUUUCGAUUUCCAUUUUCUAUGCUGAUGUUUUUAACAAACGAACCUUAACAGUGUUGCUGGGCUCUAUCAAAUAAUUGUAUUCAGAAAAUGAAAUACAUAGUAUAACAUAGUAUUGGAGAAGAUAAUGAUAUUUGUUUCUUCCAAAAUCUCUACAAUUGAAGCAAAUCCAAUAAUGAGAAAAUUAGGCUGAAGCUUUAAGUGAAAAAAUAAAUGUUACAUUACUGUUCAAAUAGCUUGAUGUGUACAUUUUUAAUGUUUUAUAAUUGUAUAAAUAAAUUUAUGUGGAUAUAAA